AAAAUUCGAGGUAGACAAAGAGACCGUCCGGGGGACCUCGCGUGUGUCAAGAGGUCGACGGGUGUGGUGUCUUGCGGUGGGCAGGCCAGCAGUGGGGACCUUACAGGGAACGAUGACCACGGCAGGCCCAAGGGAUGGAGCAGAGGCCACCUGGAGACUCUGUGGUCAGGCCCAAGCAGUUCCGACUAUGGUAAUUGGAGCCAAUUUUCAUUCUGGAAAAUGUGAAGAGCCUCAGAGAUUCACCGACGCAAGCCUAGGGGGGCGCCGUUCUCUGACCCGCAGAUCGGCAGGGGGACGAUGCAGGGUCCCCCCUGGACACGUCGAAGGCUCUCUCUGCUUUGAAAUGGCUGAGAGCCCGGCUGAGCCAAAACCACUGGAGAGUCAAGGCUGGACUAAAUAAUAUCCUCGGGGUAAUGCUUUUCACCUUCAUAAGGAGAAGAAUUACGAUGCUCCUUCCCUCAUGUCCUCAGCUGAUGGCCAGAGAAGAGAGAUAAUAUUUACUAUUUUGUCCUUACAAAACACAGACAGCGGUGCCGACCGUAUAUUUGAAGAGGGGAGACUUGAUAUCUGGAGAUGGGGUGUCGUCGGGCCAGGAAGAGCGGGAGAUUUCGUUUUAUUUAUUUAUUUAGCUCUGACCCUGGAACCUUCUCCCGAAGAACGCAGGGUCACAGCCGCCAAAGGCCCCGGCAGGAAGCCAGCCCCGGGUCAGUGGGCAGGGAGUCGCUCUGGAAGCGUUAACAAGGCGCCAGUCGGGAGAGCUGGGCCCUGGGGACAACCGUCAGCCUCGGUGGCCUCUCUGCUGAGUUGAGCCCAAAACAACAGCUCUGCCUGGAGGCCUACAAAGCGAGCAUCCGGGCAGACUCAGAAGCGGUCUCUCUCUCAUAUUCUGCUGAGCCCAAGAGUGUCAUUUUUUCGUUUGGUGUCUCCAAAGCUCGCGUCCCCUCUUCCUCAUUAGCCGUGGCUGUCCCCCCGCCCCCCAACUCUCCCCGAGGAGAGGAGGCGUCCGCACGGCGGUGGGGAUCUGUCUCCUGGGGGAGGGGGGGGUGGGGGUGACAUCUAACCGGGCGGCAGGAGACGCAGGUUCCAUCUGGUGGCCUGAGCGCCCGAGCCGGCUGCUUUUCCUUCUCUGGAAACACGACCUGACCCACUUCCUGCUGGCGUGAUGGCGUACAAGUCCUCGAAGGCCCAGAGGACAGGCAGGCCACGUCUGCUCUCCCCACUCCGCGUCACCCCCGAGGGAGUAAAGACACUUCUCUUUUCAUCUGGAGGAAGAGCUGCUGGGACCCACACCUUCCGUCCUCCGAGGAACCGUCCCGGCUGGUGCCGCCGUCCUCCGGCCCUGGCAGAGUCGUGCCGCCGCAGGUGUGGCUUCCAACCGCGGAGCUUUGCCGGGAGCUCGGGAAACCCGCAUCCCACCUCCUGGCAUUGAUGGAUGAUCCUAUCGGUUGGGGGAAAAUGCUCUGGUCACGCACUGCUGAGGUGUGGGGAAAGAAUUUACUGCAUAACAUUUACUUUCUAGCGCGGGGCUGGGAACAGAAGGCCACGGGGGCGAGGGGCGUUUCUUCCCCUGGUCAGGUGGCUCCUAGCUUCACCUGCCAUCUAGGGCCUGGGCGCCAAGAGGACACGCAGGGGGUCCGGAGGCAUUUCUCCGUUUCUGCAGCUAUGGGCGGGGGCAGGACCAGCAACGAGACGGUCAGUCCGGGGCGGCUUUGGCGUCACCCGGGCCCUGGAGCGGCACCAACUCCCUCGGAGGCCGAGGUUCCCGUCCCGGUGCGAAGAACGAAACCCGAAGGGGGUGCCGUGGGAGGCGUCAGUACAAUUGCACCGACAGCACCCUCUGGCAGAGGCAGCGAGCCUCGGGGCCUGAUCCUAGGGUCUCGGCAUCGUGCCUCCCGGGCCUCUGGCCCUCUGGCUCUGCACAGAGGGGUGCUACUGCGCCCCAGUCCGAGGCCUGGGGAGGUGCCGAGCCAGCUGACGGCAAUCGGUAAGCCCGAAAGAGCCACCUGCCUCUGCCGCUCUGAGACCCCUCCCCAGCCUCCUGAUCUCCACCUGCUCCGGCGGUUUCUGUCCAGGCAGGCCAGUCCCCGGGGGAGACUCGGGAGCCCGCAGGCCGGUGGGGUUCAAGCUCCGCCAGGUCGCUUAGCCUUGGCCUCUGCUUCUGUACGACGGGAGGGCCAGGCCCUACAUGCCGGGUCACGGCAAACACUAGCACAAGGUGAGCCACUGGGAGCUCAGCGCUGGCACCCGGGAGCCAGCAGUGCUGGGGAACGCUUGGGAUCCGGAGGAAGCAGGACUGGUGUGAGGUGACGAAAUGGGAAGAAUUCCAAGGUAGGGAGGAGAAACGGAGGCUCAGGGCCAGCUGCCGUGGCCGUCGUGAGAGGGCUCCAGGUGGGUCGCUCAGGCCAACAUUCUGGGGCCUCUGUGUCACCCCCCAGUGCCAGCCCUCGCCCCUUCUAGCUCCUGAUAUAUGAACCUAGGAACGAGCAUGUGCAGGAGGCGUUCCGGGACGCUGGCAGGCACACGGCGGGGGUCCGGCUUCCCCGCCUGUGUCACGACGGCCACCAGAGGAAGCCGGUCAGGCCCAACCCGGGAAAGCCUUUUCCUUUUCAGUCCACCAGGGGGCCAUUUACUAAAUCCCCAGGACCGGCGAAUUGUGCCCUCGCUCGGAAAAAUGGCUCCCUUGCAUCUUUCGGGGCCCACUGGUGUUUAUCACCGUGUGGGAGGGCCAAUCGUCAGAGCUCUCAGGGACGGGACACAGCCGGUUUUAGAUGGCCGGUGGGAAGGCAUCACAGUCGCCUGGGAGUUAGUGAUUGAUGAGUGGGCACAUAUAGUCAUCAAUUCAUUAAUGUUAUUAUGAUACGAACGCUAUCACAUAUCAACAAUAUGUAUUAUCGAUGUUACAAAUAACUUGCUUUAUUCUCUCAGUCUGUGUUUAUUGAGUACCUACUACGUGCCCAGGCCUGUGUCGGGCUCUGGGAAAACAGUGGCGAAGGACGACCUGGCUUGGCCCCCACGUCAUGGCACUUACAGUUCACUGGGAAGCUAGACAACCGUCGAAUAGUGAUCAGUGAUGAAGGUGGAAUUGCAAAUUGUGUUCGAGGGAAGUCACAAACCCUCUCACAGCCUGGAGUAGGAGGAUUUGACUUGGUCAGGGAACGGGGGGUGGCGUUUUGAGGAACCAACCCCUGAAAGAUGAGAUGGGGUCAGUUAGGCGGGUGUAAAGGGGGAAGAGUGAUUGGGGCAGAGGGGGACAGCAUUUGCAAAGGCCCUGUGGCAGGAGGACAUAGAACAAGCACGUGGGCAGAGGACAGAGAUGGGGACAGUGCCAGAUGAGGCUGUGCAGGCGGGCAAGGCCCAAGCUGGGGAUCUGUAUGUACCCCAAGAGCACUGGGAACCACGAAAGGAUGCAAAGGGAUAAUGUGGUCAGAUUUGCCUUUUAGAACGACCACUCUGGCUACGCGUGAUGGGCCGUGCGAUGUGCUGCCCAGUUCGUCCUGCAGAAAUAAAGGCCUGCUCCCCACAGGUCCGGAGGCUGCUGGCAGAACGCCCUCAGCAUGUGCCCCCUUCCUGGAUGGGUGUCUGCCCAGAGGGCACCGGCCCCAGUCACGCCCCAUCCCAGGGGGGCCAGCGGCUGGUGCCUGGUCGACGGCAGGACGGCUCAGAGGGUCAUCCCAACUCCGGGGUCCCCGGCGGGGCCAUCCGAGGCCUUCCUCGAGGCUGGAGGUGAGCUGGAUAACACGCCCUCCCUAACCCGGCCACCCCUCCCUUGCCCAGGUGACAUGUCUAACACCACACCCAGCCCGAGGCCCUGCAGGGCUCAUCUCCCUCUCGGAGCCUGCUUCCUGGGACGCCCGGUGACAGCCUGGGUGAGCUGUGUGUACUUCAUCAUCACUCAGCUCCAAUGACGCACUCAGAUGCUCAACAAGAAGCCUGAACUUAAAAUAUUGUGCUACCGUCCCGAUGAAUGUUUCCUGCUUCGACGAGCGCCUGCCAAUGGGGCGUAGAGCGGGAUUUUGACACCUUAAUGAUUUCUCCGAUGCUGCCCUGCGAUUUCCCACAGUCAUUCAUGCGCGUCGAUGAAGUCUCCAGGAUCCCGUUCGGAAAGCCUCAUGCAUAGUCCGGCUGAACGCCCCGUCCCAAUUUCUGUGACAGGGUAACCAGGUGAAGUUCUUUUUUUUUUUUUUUUAAAUGUAGCCCCAUGACAAUGCUCAGCGGAAGGGGGGGAAAUUGAACCUGAAGUUACAUUUGGAACCCAUCUCAGCUCGCGGGGCCAGCGCCAGACUUUGUGCCUUGUGACUCUCCAAGUUGGGGCUGUACUGUGCUGCGGUCCCCACUCUUCAGUGCUCCCCCAGAUUCCCUGGCAUAUGUGACCACUUUCCGUGAUGCUUAUUAACAUCGUGAUGGGUCAGCCUUCCAGGGGACGUGCUUUGUGCUAGACGGUCAUCAGUAAACAUCAGGGUAACAGCCCAGUUCUGAGAAGGGGGCAUGGCGGAGCUGGUUGGGGUGCCUGGAGCAUGCUGUCCACGUGACUCCGAAUUGCAGGCCACACCCGAGUCAGCUCCGGGGGGCGGGGGGGCACGCUGCUGAGGAGGGCACCGGAUCCCGGCCACCUCCACGGGCCGCCCCAGAAAGCUAUCAGUCCUCCACUCAAUCAACAGACGUCUCUGUUUGGUUUUAAAACAGAAUCAGGGGGCGCCUGGGUGGCUCAGUCGGUUAAGCACCGACUUUGGCUCAGGUCACGAUCUCAAGG
Molecule: long non-coding RNA, 4750 nt
Organism: Felis catus (domestic cat)
Lineage: Eukaryota; Metazoa; Chordata; Mammalia; Carnivora; Felidae
Exons: 4
Source: RefSeq, a predicted model, not a curated record